RNAcentral lists this long non-coding RNA (470 nucleotides) under Helianthus annuus (common sunflower). Lineage: Eukaryota; Viridiplantae; Streptophyta; Magnoliopsida; Asterales; Asteraceae. The record is from RNAcentral.
AUGCAUCUCUCUCGAUUAAUGAUUCUUCUCCAUCAAAGCCUUACCAUCAAUUUCUUUGAUUCUUUCAACUUAUUGAUUUAAUUCUAUUGUUCAUUCAAUUCAAUCAUUCCAUUAACAAAGAUAAAAAUUGUACGUAUACUUCUUCGAAACAUUUCUCUUCAAUAUUCUAUCAAGACUUAAAGAUGGAAGGUAGAGAAUAUUGGAUGUACAAUAGUAGCGUCGUGCGUACUUCCGAAAUAUAUAUGAAAGGCGUUUCUACUUUUCUUAAGGUUGCUGAAGCUAAUCGGAGGAAUGUUGGCUCCAAAGAGAUUUGGUGUCCUUGUCGUUAGGUACUAGUUGGAGCUUGCAUGGAGGAAUGGUCGUUGUGGAGAUGAACCGUUGUGGGGUUCAUGAUAAACAUUAUGAAACUUUAAGCCUUUACUUUGGUUUUGAAUUAAAUGCUUCCGCUGUUAACUUAUACUUUGUUUUUA